Molecule: transfer RNA, 83 nt
Filed under: Gemmatimonadota bacterium
Lineage: Bacteria; Pseudomonadati; Gemmatimonadota
Also listed under: 2 other names
Description: Gemmatimonadetes bacterium tRNA-Leu
Rfam family: tRNA
About the family: Transfer RNA (tRNA) molecules are approximately 80 nucleotides in length.
Source: RNAcentral
GCGAAAGUGGCGGAAUUGGUAGACGCGCAGGAUUUAGGAUCCUGUGGCUUCAUGCCGUGGGGGUUCGAGUCCCCCCUUUCGCA